CACGUAGGGGGCGAGCGUUGUUCGGAAUUACUGGGCGUAAAGGGCAUGUAGGCGGCUUGGUAAGCCUGGCGUGAAAGACUGCAGCUUAACUGUAGGGAUGCGUUGGGAACUGCUUAGCUUGAGUUACGGAGAGGGAGCUGGAAUUCCUGGUGUAGGGGUGAAAUCUGUAGAUAUCAGGAAGAACACCGAUGGCGAAGGCAAGCUUCUGGUCGAUAACUGACGCUGAGGUGCGAAAGUGUGGGGAUCAAACAGGAUUAGAAACCCCUGUAGUCC
This 273-nucleotide ribosomal RNA is filed under the name uncultured prokaryote. RNAcentral's name for it is "partial 16S ribosomal RNA". It matches the Rfam family "Bacterial small subunit ribosomal RNA", at positions 524 to 796 of the family's 1533-position model. The record is from RNAcentral.